This is a non-coding RNA of Tribonema minus, 72 nucleotides long. The record is from the annotation of a GenBank genome assembly. Lineage: Eukaryota; Xanthophyceae; Tribonematales; Tribonemataceae.
CACACCGUGGCGCAGAGGAAGCGCACCAGGCUCAUAACCUGGGGGACACAGGAUCGAAACCUGUCGGUGUGA